UCGAGAAUUUUUCUCAAUGGGCGAAAGCCUGAAGGAGCGACGCCGCGUGAGGGAUGAAGGGCUUCGGCCUGUAAACCUCUGUCAUUUGCGAACAAACCUUACUCGUGAAUAACGGGUGAGCUGAUAGUAGCGAAAGAGGAAGGGACGGCUAACUCUGUG
RNAcentral lists this ribosomal RNA (159 nucleotides) under uncultured bacterium. RNAcentral describes it as "partial 16S ribosomal RNA". It matches the Rfam family "Bacterial small subunit ribosomal RNA", at positions 355 to 507 of the family's 1533-position model. The record is from RNAcentral.